UACAGAGGGUGCAAGCGUUGUUCGGAAUUAUUGGGCGUAAAGGGCGCGUAGGCGGUGCGGUAAGCCUGUAGUGAAAUCUCUGGGCUCAACUCAGAGUCUGCUGCAGAAACUGCCGUGCUUGAGUGUGGGAGAGGUGAGUGGAAUUCCCGGUGUAGCGGUGAAAUGCGUAGAUAUCGGGGAGGAACACCUGUGGCGAAAGCGGCUCACUGGACCACAACUGACGCUGAGGCGCGAAAGCUAGGGGAGCAAACAGG
RNAcentral lists this ribosomal RNA (254 nucleotides) under uncultured bacterium. RNAcentral describes it as "partial 16S ribosomal RNA". It matches the Rfam family "Bacterial small subunit ribosomal RNA", at positions 524 to 776 of the family's 1533-position model. The record is from RNAcentral.